CAGCCGCCGCGGUAAUACGUAGGGUGCAAGCGUUAAUCGGAAUUACUGGGCGUAAAGCGUGCACAGGCGGUUAUAUAAGACAGAUGUGAAAUCCCCGGGCUCAACCUGGGAACUGCAUUUGUGACUGUAUAGCUAGAGUACGGCAGAGGGGGAUGGAAUUCCGCGUGUAGCAGUGAAAUGCGUAGAUAUGCGGAGGAACACCGAUGGCGAAGGCAAUCCCCUGGGCCUGUACUGACGCUCAUGCACGAAAGCGUGGGGAGCAAACAGGAUUAGAUACCCCUGUAGUCCCUGUCUCUUAUAC
This 301-nucleotide ribosomal RNA is filed under the name uncultured bacterium. RNAcentral's name for it is "partial 16S ribosomal RNA". It matches the Rfam family "Bacterial small subunit ribosomal RNA", at positions 509 to 807 of the family's 1533-position model. The record is from RNAcentral.